GAAAGUCAGUUGGAGCCUGGCCAAGAGAUGAACUGAGAGACUUCCUUGACUUCUGACCAAGGGGGAGACUUCCCUGGUUUCUAACCAAGGGAGUGACUGGCUUUUUUCUGACCUAGGAUGAGACUUUGGUGUGGCUGAUGUUCAUGAUUGAUUGCUAUAUACUGGGCUGGUCUAUUAGCUAUCAGUAGUGAUCAAUAGGCACCCACUGAUACUAUCCCUGGUAGUAGUAUCUCCAUUACAACUAGGCACCCUCAGGUUUCCCCUAGUACCUCUCUAGUCAAGCCAGAGUAUCUCAGUUAUUUCAACCAGAAAUAUCUCCAAGAUUAUCUAUUCUAAUACAUCAAGAAUUCUCUUUCCUUCUGAAAAGAAGGCAAUAUUCAAAAAUCCUUUACACACCUCUGUUUUCUGCCACCUCUACUUCAGAAACAUCCCUGACAACACAGCAGGCAGUUUUUGUCAAAUAGUGGAUUCUUGGGCCAAAAACUGGGGUCUUCGGGUUUAUCAAACACUAGCUUGCUGA
RNAcentral lists this long non-coding RNA (520 nucleotides) under Monodelphis domestica (gray short-tailed opossum). RNAcentral describes it as "lncRNA (ENSMODG00000032351.2)". Lineage: Eukaryota; Metazoa; Chordata; Mammalia; Didelphimorphia; Didelphidae. The record is from RNAcentral.